RNAcentral lists this unclassified non-coding RNA (445 nucleotides) under Hevea brasiliensis (rubber tree). The record is from RNAcentral. Lineage: Eukaryota; Viridiplantae; Streptophyta; Magnoliopsida; Malpighiales; Euphorbiaceae.
GAGAGGAGAGAGAAGAGAGAGUGGGCGGCAGAUUCCACAUGGCCUCGCUGCCUCAUCGCCCUUCGGAGCCGGACGCGAUGAACAUUGACGCCGCCGCUCGCCGGCCGGAGACGGCGGAGCACAAGCAAACAGAGGUAGGAAACGAGAAUUUAACAGGCCAUAUUAUAUCAACAACCAUAGGAGGAAAGAAUGGUGAAGCCAAACAGACAAUCAGUUACAUGGCGGAGCGUGUGGUGGGAACUGGCUCAUUCGGCAUCGUUUUCCAGGCCAAAUGCCUGGAGACGGCGGAAUCGGUGGCGAUAAAGAAGGUUCUGCAGGACAAGAGGUACAAGAAUCGGGAGCUGCAGCUGAUGCGCUCGAUGGAUCAUCCGAACGUGAUAUCCCUUAAGCACUGCUUCUUCUCCACGACGAGCCAGGAUGAGCUUUUCUUGAAUCUGGUCAUGGA